GAUGAACGCUGGCGGCGUGCCUAAUACAUGCAAGUCGAGCGAAAAGACGAGGAGCUUGCUCCUCGGACGUGAGCGGCGGAGGGGUGAGACACACGAGUAUAACCUACCUAUCAGACUGGGAUCACUUGGGGACACCGGAGCAAAUCCCGUAUAAGAUCCUGAACCGCAUGGGUCAAUGGUGAAAGACGGCUUUUGUGUCUCUUAUAGAUGGAUCCGCGCCGCAUUAGCUAGUUGGUAAGGUAAAGGCUUAUCAAGGCAACGAUGCGUAGCCGACCUGAGAGGCGGAUCGCCCACACUGGAGCUGAGACACGGUCCAGACUCCUACGGGAGGGAGCAGUCGGGAAUCGUCCGCAAUGGGCGAAAGCUUGACGGAGCAACGCCGCGUGAGUGAUGAAGGUCUUCCGAUCGUAAAGCUCUGUUAUUAGGGAAGAACAAAUGUGUAAGUAACUAUGCACGUCUUGACGGUACCUAAUCAGAAAGCCACGGCUAACUACGUG
This 497-nucleotide ribosomal RNA is filed under the name uncultured bacterium. RNAcentral's name for it is "partial 16S ribosomal RNA". It matches the Rfam family "Bacterial small subunit ribosomal RNA", at positions 28 to 507 of the family's 1533-position model. The record is from RNAcentral.